Molecule: ribosomal RNA, 255 nt
Filed under: uncultured bacterium
Lineage: Bacteria
Description: partial 16S ribosomal RNA
Rfam family: Bacterial small subunit ribosomal RNA
Source: RNAcentral
UACGUAGGGCGCAAGCGUUAUCCGGAAUUAUUGGGCGUAAAGAGCUCGUAGGCGGUUUGUCGCGUCUGCCGUGAAAAGUCCGGGGCUCAACUCCGGAUCUGCGGUGGGUACGGGCAGACUAGAGUGAUGUAGGGGAGACUGGAAUUCCUGGUGUAGCGGUGAAAUGCGCAGAUAUCAGGAGGAACACCGAUGGCGAAGGCAGGUCUCUGGGCAUUAACUGACGCUGAGGAGCGAAAGCAUGGGGGAGCGAACAGG